Molecule: long non-coding RNA, 448 nt
Organism: Panthera uncia (snow leopard)
Lineage: Eukaryota; Metazoa; Chordata; Mammalia; Carnivora; Felidae
Exons: 3
Source: RefSeq, a predicted model, not a curated record
ACGGGUAAUCACCACUGGUGGCACGUGGAACACAGACAGCCCCUGACUGCAACUCAUUUUCUCGUUUAAUCCUUGCAACACUCCGGGGUGGGGGGUGGGGGGGGGCAGUUUUACCCUCUCUGUUUUAAAUUGUGAAGAUCAAGGCUGAAGGUGAACCCGGCGAAGGUAACCCACCAGGUUGGAAGAGAACUUCUGCAGUAGCUCCGGGUUGUCAAUACUGAUGGAAUGCGGAGGGCACCCAACCGCAUGGCCACUUGGGGGAAGUGCUUAGAAGAUCCACGUGGACAUAUUAAAGAGAAAAUGGGGAAGCUGCAUUUCGAUUUGGAUCUGGAAACCCAGCAGGCUCCUAAAAACUUGUUCGUAGAAUUACGUUCCAUUUCACACUUCAGAACAAUCUGGAGAUGCUUCUGGCGGGUGAUCACUUCCGAUGCGGAGGACGGAAUGAGAG